GACGAACGCUGGCGGCGUGCCUAAUACAUGCAAGUAGAACGCUGAAGAGAGGAGCUUGCUCUUCUUGGAUGAGUUGCGAACGGGUGAGUAACGCGUAGGUAACCUGCCUUGUAGCGGGGGAUAACUAUUGGAAACGAUAGCUAAUACCGCAUAACAAUGGAUGACACAUGUCAUUUAUUUGAAAGGAGCAAUUGCUCCACUACAAGAUGGACCUGCGUUGUAUUAGCUAGUAGGUGAGGUAAUGGCUCACCUAGGCGACGAUACAUAGCCGACCUGAGAGGGUGAUCGGCCACACUGGGACUGAGACACGGCCCAGACUCCUACGGGAGGCAGCAGUAGGGAAUCUUCGGCAAUGGGGGCAACCCUGACCGAGCAACGCCGCGUGAGUGAAGAAGGUUUUCGGAUCGUAAAGCUCUGUUGUAAGUCAAGAACGGGUGUGAGAGUGGAAAGUUCACACUGUGACGGUAGCUUACCAGAAAGGGACGGCUAACUACGUGCCAGCAGCCGCGGUAAUACGUAGGUCCCGAGCGUUGUCCGGAUUUAUUGGGCGUAAAGCGAGCGCAAGCGGUUUGAUAAGUCUGAAGUUAAAGGCUGUGGCUCAACCAUAGUUCGCUUUGGAAACUGUCAAACUUGAGUGCAGAAGGGGAGAGUGGAAUUCCAUGUGUAGCGGUGAAAUGCGUAGAUAUAUGGAGGAACACCGGUGGGCGAAAGCGGCUCUCUGGUCUGUAACUGACGCUGAGGCUCGAAAGCGUGGGGAGCGAACAGGAUUAGAUACCCUGGUAGUCCACGCCGUAAACGAUGAGUGCUAGGUGUUGGAUCCUUUCCGGGAUUCAGUGCCGCAGCUAACGCAUUAAGCACUCCGCCUGGGGAGUACGACCGCAAGGUUGAAACUCAAAGGAAUUGACGAGGGCCCGCACAAGCGGUGGAGCAUGUGGUUUAAUUCGAAGCAACGCGAAGAACCUUACCAGGUCUUGACAUCCCGAUGCUAUUUCUAGAGAUAGAAAGUUACUUCGGUACAUCGGUGACAGGUGGUGCAUGGUUGUCGUCAGCUCGUGUCGUGAGAUGUUGGGUUAAGUCCCGCAACGAGCGCAACCCCUAUUGUUAGUUGCCAUCAUUCAGUUGGGCACUCUAGCGAGACUGCCGGUAAUAAACCGGAGGAAGGUGGGGAUGACGUCAAAUCAUCAUGCCCCUUAUGACCUGGGCUACACACGUGCUACAAUGGUUGGUACAACGAGUUGCGAGUCGGUGACGGCGAGCUAAUCUCUUAAAGCCAAUCUCAGUUCGGAUUGUAGGCUGCAACUCGCCUACAUGAAGUCGGAAUCGCUAGUAAUCGCGGAUCAGCACGCCGCGGUGAAUACGUUCCCGGGCCU
This 1370-nucleotide ribosomal RNA is filed under the name uncultured bacterium. RNAcentral describes it as "bacterial SSU rRNA". It matches the Rfam family "Bacterial small subunit ribosomal RNA", at positions 28 to 1381 of the family's 1533-position model. The record is from RNAcentral.